Molecule: ribosomal RNA, 503 nt
Filed under: uncultured bacterium
Lineage: Bacteria
Description: partial 16S ribosomal RNA
Rfam family: Bacterial small subunit ribosomal RNA
Source: RNAcentral
AUUGAACGCUGGCGGCAGGCUUAACACAUGCAAGUCGAGCGGGGUGAUGGUGCUUGCACUAUCACUUAGCGGCGGACGGGUGAGUAAUGCUUAGGAAUCUGCCUAUUAGUGGGGGACAACAUCUCGAAAGGGAUGCUAAUACCGCAUACGUCCUACGGGAGAAAGCAGGGGAUCACUUGUGACCUUGCGCUAAUAGAUGAGCCUAAGUCGGAUUAGCUGGUUGGUGGGGUAAAGGCCUACCAAGGCGACGAUCUGUAGCGGGUCUGAGAGGAUGGUCGGCCACACUGGGACUGGGACACGGCCCAGACUCCUACGGGAGGCAGCAGUGGGGAAUAUUGGACAAUGGGGGGAACCCUGAUCCAGCCAUGCCGCGUGUGUGAAGAAGGCCUUAUGGUUGUAAAGCACUUUAAGCGAGGAGGAGGCUCUUUUGGUUAAUACCCAAGAUGAGUGGACGUUACUCGCAGAAUAAGCACCGGCUAACUCUGUGCCAGCCGCCGCUGUAA